UAAUGUCUUUUGUCUAUACAUUUAGUUAGAGGUACUCAUAUUUGUUUAAUGUUUGUUGGUUUUUAUGUCCACAAAAAUUAUGUCAUUUCCUAGGGGUUUUCAUGAGGCAGAUAUGUACUUGGAGUUAGACGAUGAUUCAAUAAAGGGAAAGCAUCGUCUUCGAUGCCGCUCAACCCACUCCCACUUCGAGGAGACGUUUGCACUUCCAGAGCUUAGAGUUGGAGUGGUAUGCAUAACAAUAUGGGAAGAUCCUCAUAUCGAUCACCUUAGGAGAGAACAAGCCUAUCUUGCUACAUAUCGUUCGAUUCAGCUAUGCCAUUGAUGUCUUAACGCGAAACACAUUUCCUAUCCAUGCCCUCAAGUGGGUUGAUGUACCUCUAGAGUACAUCGAGGUCGUCAAGGUGGCCUACAGCGUUAGUUUGUGCUCGAUUUUGGUGAUCAAACAUUUAAUCAUUUUGUUGAGCAUCAAAUACUCAGCAAGUGGAAGGAAUUCAUGGCAGACAACCACCGACAUUUCAAGCAGUUUAGCGUCCUUAAGGAAGUACAUUUGAACCCACCACCGAGAUUUAUGAAUCGCAUGGAAGAUUGGUAGUUCCUCUGUGACCAUUACAUGACUCAACAAUUUCAGGUGAUUUAUAUCGUCUACUUUUACUUUGGAUGUAACAUUUUGAUUGUUUGAAUGUAUGAGCAAUCAAUGGUUAAUAAGGCUGGUAGAGCGAAAUAGCCUUACAACCACAAAAGAAAAUUCAAGUCGUUCCUUCAACGACAACACGAUCUCACUGAAGAACGUGGUCGCCUAGUGGACCAUGUCGAGUUGUUUAAAGAAACACAUGCUAAUAGGACGGACAAGUUUGUUUCACAGAUAGUAGCAGAUGCACAUAGGGUUCUCAACCUUUGGAGAUGAAAUAUGUGAGAUUGUAUUGGGUAGGCGAUCAGACUACUUAAAUGGUCUUGGUUGGGGCUUCAAGCCUAAGUUCCGAAAGAGUAAUGCCCAAUUCUUCCUCUUCCUAUGACCAAGAGAUGCAUAAAAGAUAGGUUAGCAAACUAAAGGCUAGCCUUGAAAACGCUAACCACUUAAUUGAAGAACAACGAAUAAGGUCAGAGGAGUGUGAUCGAUAAAUGUCUGAGUGUGACUGAAAAAUGGAAGAGAAUGCUAAAAAAAUAGAAGAAAGUGCUUGAAAGAUGAAAGAAAAUGCAUGAAAAAUGGAAGAGAUGGGGAAGAUGAUCGAGAAAAUGAGUCAGACACAAA
Long non-coding RNA from Cucumis melo (muskmelon), 1249 nucleotides. RefSeq lists it as uncharacterized. The record is from RefSeq and is a predicted model, not a curated record. Lineage: Eukaryota; Viridiplantae; Streptophyta; Magnoliopsida; Cucurbitales; Cucurbitaceae. The transcript is spliced from 4 exons.